This 291-nucleotide ribosomal RNA is filed under the name uncultured bacterium. RNAcentral describes it as "partial 16S ribosomal RNA". It matches the Rfam family "Bacterial small subunit ribosomal RNA", at positions 506 to 796 of the family's 1533-position model. The record is from RNAcentral.
UGCCAGCAGCCGCGGUAAUACGUAGGGUGCGAGCGUUGUCCGGAAUUAUUGGGCGUAAAGGGCUCGUAGGCGGUUUGUUGCGUCGGGAGUGAAAACUCAGGGCUUAACCCUGAGCCUGCUUCCGAUACGGGCAGACUAGAGGUAUGCAGGGGAGAACGGAAUUCCUGGUGCAGCGGUGAAAUGCGCAGAUAUCAGGAGGAACACCGGUGGCGAAGGCGGUUCUCUGGGCAUUACCUGACGCUGAGGAGCGAAAGUGUGGGGAGCGAACAGGAUUAGAUACCCUGGUAGUCC